ACAUCAGAAGGGAGGUGAUCCGAGAACAUGAAGUUCCUUCGGACCGAUGAGGUGGCCGCGCGCUAGCGCGUCCUGAUUCUCCCGUCGCCGACACCCGUCAGGGCCGACGACGACAGGACUCGGUGGCGACCUCGACGCGACCACCGGAGCCCGCGGGCGCCGUGCCCUCGUCCAGCACGGCAGGGAGGCGACUCCCAGCCCGCGGGCUCUUCCAU
RNAcentral lists this small RNA (215 nucleotides) under Xylanimonas cellulosilytica DSM 15894. RNAcentral's name for it is "Actinobacteria sRNA Ms_IGR-5". It matches the Rfam family "Actinobacteria sRNA Ms_IGR-5". Lineage: Bacteria; Bacillati; Actinomycetota; Actinomycetes; Micrococcales; Promicromonosporaceae. The record is from Rfam by way of RNAcentral.